GCUGGGUGUGGUGGCUCACACCUGUAAUCCCAACUACUCAGGAGGCUGAGGCAGGAGGAUUGCUUGAGCCCAGGAGUUUGAGACCAGCCUGGGCAACAUAGCAAGACCCCAUCUCAA
Molecule: non-coding RNA, 117 nt
Filed under: Chlorocebus sabaeus (green monkey)
Lineage: Eukaryota; Metazoa; Chordata; Mammalia; Primates; Cercopithecidae
Source: Rfam by way of RNAcentral